Lineus longissimus is the source of this 1016-nucleotide long non-coding RNA. RefSeq lists it as uncharacterized. The transcript has 3 exons. Lineage: Eukaryota; Metazoa; Nemertea; Pilidiophora; Heteronemertea; Lineidae. The record is from RefSeq and is a predicted model, not a curated record.
CAUUAUUAUAUCAUCGGUAUCUGCAUCGACAUCUCGAACACGAACUCGAAAAUGUUAAUACAGCCCUUAUCUGUCGUCGAGUUUUUUCCCAGGAACACCACGCACCACCUGCGAGAAGUUUCCGGGAGAAGUGUCGUUCACUGCGAGCCGACGCUAGCGCGCAGCCGCCGGAGUCUUGGUGUCUUCGUACCAGGCUCAUUCACAAAGAGACAACGGGAGAGACCACAACGGCAGUCAUGGACCGUACAAAGUUGGGGAUAGUCGUGGUGUUGCUUUAUGGAUUAGUUAUGGUGUUGUGCCUCAGUGCAGUUGAUUCCUCAGGCUCGGAAGAGGCAAUCAUAGUUCGAACCCGACGGUCUCGCACAUGGCAGUUCCAGGACCUUCUAACGAAAUGUUCAACGCAUAGAGAGUGCAAAUACACCGGAUUCUGCAACAGCGACCGAGGAAAAUGUUGUUCUCCUCACGGAUAUGCCUGUUUUACGGACUACGACUGUUGUAAAAAGGGCCACAUUUGCGGCGGGAAAUACGCCAAAUACUGCAAAAACCCUAUGCCUGCGCGGGGGUAAAAGUCACCGAAAUCCCGCAAUCGGUUCCUUGUGGAAACGGAACAAAUUGAGGAUAUGAUACAUUUUACUUUGUUUUAGGUUUUUGUGUCUUGUAGAGAAACGGUGUACUGUAACAUUUCCUUCAAAUUGUUAGAUUCUGUAAAAUUUCAGUAUACCUCAUUACACGAGUUCGACAUUUGAAAACACGGACGCAAUCGACAUGGGAAAACAUAAUCUUGGGCGCGUUUAUAAAGGAGGUGGAGGUGACCGAAAUGUAUCGUAGAAUAACCAUAGUUCCCGUAAGACAGCACUGAAAUAUACAAGAAUAGGUACAUCUACGAAACCUCGCUAAUGUGUAUGACCUAACGCAACUGUUUUGAGAGAAUGAUUUAUUUCACAACCCGCUCUUAAUAAUAUCCUAUUACAAAUUAUGUCCGGAUUCAAAAAUAGAAUUGUGUUCGCUAUGUAGAA